GUGGGGAAUAUUGGGCAAUGGGCGCAAGCCUGACCCAGCAACGCCGCGUGAAGGAAGAAGGCUUUCGGGUUGUAAACUUCUUUUACCAGGGACGAAAAAAAUGACGGUACCUGGAGAAUAAGCCACGGCUAACUACGUGCCAGCAGCCGCGGUAAUACGUAGGUGGCAAGCGUUGUCCGGAUUUACUGGGUGUAAAGGGCGCGUAGGCGGGAGAGCAAGUCAGGAGUGAAAUCUAUGGGCUUAACCCAUAAAUUGCUUUUGAAACUGUUUUUCUUGAGUGAUGGAGAGGCAAGCGGAAUUCCUAGUGUAGCGGUGAAAUGCGUAGAUAUUAGGAGGAACACCGAUGGCGAAAGCAGUCUCCUGGCCAAAUACUGACGCUGAGGUACGAAAGCUAGGGUAGCAAACAGGAUUAGAUACCCCAGUAGUCC
This 428-nucleotide ribosomal RNA is filed under the name uncultured bacterium. RNAcentral's name for it is "partial 16S ribosomal RNA". It matches the Rfam family "Bacterial small subunit ribosomal RNA", at positions 354 to 796 of the family's 1533-position model. The record is from RNAcentral.